UGAACCCUAAGGCAUGUGUUUGUUUGAAAUUUGGCGUGCCCCUCGACAAGCAAUGAGGCUAAUGCAUAGGUUUCAACUUCUAAGCUUCUAAUUCUUUUGUGACUGCCGAGGAUAUCAAGAGUUAUUUAGGUUGCGUUGAUGAUACAAACCCUUUUUUUUCUCCCAGAGAAGUCAUCUUUUCCCAGGAAUGAUUCAUCAACUUGGUUUCUUUUGGGAUGUUACUAUGUGCAUACAAUGGUGGACCUGCGUAUUGAAGAUUGGUGGAACCACCUUGUCCAAGGUUUGCUCGAAAAUUUCACUGUGUAUCAAUAGGUAAAAUUUUUAUUCAUAUGGUGAAUUUCCUCGACUUUUUCGUCGGUGUAUUCUUUAUAUUUUGACUCCCCUUAGGGAAGUUCUCACUCCAUCUCUGGUUAUAUUGGUUGACGAAUACUAAAAUGAUUUAAUUUUUUCAUUCAGCACUCAUAUCAUUGAAUAGGACUGACAGAAGGGGUACUUAAACACCUUCUCAGGGAUUUUAAUCCUCUUAGAAAUACUAUUUUCAUUUGGAACUUUUGGUUUGUUGGUGUGCAUGUGUUGAGUGAUUCCAAUCACACAUUUGUCCUUGUCUUAAAGCUACUUUCUCCGUUCCAUAUUAGUUGUCAUGUUUCGCACCUAGAGAGUCAAACUAUGUUAACUUUGACCAGUAUACAAAUUGACAUGAAAAAUGUUGCAACUUGUUGUACUUACCGUUUUGUGAAACAGUUAUAUGGCCAGUGUUGAUAAAGUUGAGAAUCAAAGAAUCAACAGUUUCUUAUUGGGAUCACUUUGUGUACCAUUCUUUGAGGCUCACAUUUAUCUAAAGCGCAUGGCUUGCCCCAUCAAACAGUUGCACUUUGUUUUAUCGCUUUAAGUGACAAAGCAAUGGCUUUAAUAACACUGAUCAUAACCCUGUCUUUUUUGCCGUUCCAUGCGGUCCUAAUUUACUAAUCAUGGUUAUAUUGGUGAUCAUUAGUUAUGCAGCACAUUGUCUAAGUUCUCGACUUCCUUAAGAUAGUUUGGUAGCAAGUAUAUGUUUAAUCCUUGAUCUGAAAUCUGUGUCUCAAAUUGCAUGCUAACAUUGUAUUUAUGUUUGUGAGAGGAUACUGUUCUUGUUAUCAUAUUUACAUGCAGUUUUGCCUUUACUCAACCUUUGAUAUGGUGCACAUGGAUGAAACAGGUUAGCUGAAUAGUGCAGUAGCGGAGACAUGAUUUUCA
This 1233-nucleotide long non-coding RNA is filed under the name Solanum tuberosum (potato). RNAcentral's name for it is "long non-coding RNA (STUB_LNC009578)". Lineage: Eukaryota; Viridiplantae; Streptophyta; Magnoliopsida; Solanales; Solanaceae. The record is from RNAcentral.